AAAAAAAAAAAAAAAACAACCAAACACAAAACAAACAAAAAAUUGUCUAAUCAUAUGAUUGACAAGAUAAGGAUGGAGGAAGCCCAUGAACCUUCCUGGUGAAUCAGAUGAGCAGAAAAAAAAUACUUACUAGAAAAAUAUCAAAAGGUCUUUUUGACACACAGAAAGAAAAGCUAGUAUGUAGUCAGAGUUUAGAUGCAAUCUUUCCAUGCAGUGCACCUAACAAAGACAUUAGAUUUGGCUGCUAUGUUUUCAAAUAUGGUUACUCAGCAAGAAAAAAAUUACCUAAAUUCUUUAGCCAAUGCAAAAGACAACUCAGUGUUUUAUUAAAAGCAACUGUAUGGGAUGGACAAUAUUUCAAAAAUAGCUGGAUUUUAAUUACACAUUUAUGAGGGGAACUUGAGAUGAAUAAAAUCUUCAAAUUGUAACAACUAUAAGCUCUUCUGCCCUCACUUGAGGCAUUUUGACUAAAAAAAAAAAGAGCUGUAUUAUUUUUGCUCUAAAACCGCUGUAUGUUAAGAGCUUAUGUUAGUAGUGAAAAACAUGCAAGUCGCUAGUUUUUAAAAUUAGCUUUUAUGAGCAAGCCACACAGCAGUCUCAGCAUCUCAUUGAGCAGCAAAAUACAGAUGUAAGUAAUGCUGAUGUUACAAAGCCUGGGAUUCAAAAAAAAACGAAAAA
Molecule: long non-coding RNA, 678 nt
Organism: Neopsephotus bourkii (Bourke's parrot)
Lineage: Eukaryota; Metazoa; Chordata; Aves; Psittaciformes; Psittacidae
Exons: 2
Source: RefSeq, a predicted model, not a curated record